GGAUCCUACUGCUGCUCUAAGCCCAGGUUUCGUCAGAUGAACAAAGCCUGUCGACUCCUGUUUUUCAUGUGAUUGCUUUACUUCACAACUUCUGAAGGAUGACGCUGCUGUGAAGUUAAAUUCCGGCAAAAACACGGGCUGGACUGAAGACGUUAACCCUCAGUGUCCCUCAAGGAUUCAGUCUGGAACUGUUGUUCAGCUGCUCAAGCAUUUAUACAGGUUGUGAAAUAAAAAAAGUUUUCUUUUUUUGCUCCAUAGGUGUAGCUCAGGGUAAAGUCAGAGAUUCUGAGAAAAAAAAAAGUGAGAGAUGAGGAGGAACAUCUCAGCUGCUCAACAUCAUCAUCGUCAUUGCCCUCAUUAUCAGCGUCACCACCAUCAUCAGUCCACCACUGUGGCCACUGUGGGGCGAUCUUCUUUGCUUUUAAAUUGAUCAUGAUUGGAGAAAGUUGGACCCUUUACCUGAACCAUAGCAGGAAGGGAAGUAAAAUCGAAGUCUGUUCACAGCUUACUGUCUGCAUUCAAAACACAAGUCAAGGUCAGGCUCCUCAGAUGUCACUAGCCCCACCUCACAGUCUUCUUCUCCCCAGUUGUCUUUGGAUGGGGGGGAUUUGUGGUGUAAAACCCAAAAGGGUGAAAGCUCAAAACAUUCAGUAUCCAGGAUGAGCCAAGAAAUGCAGGGGAGGUUUCCUGACCGGAUUCUGGUCUGGGAACACAGUCUCCAAGUCCCAGACAAAACCAGACCAGACCCCCUCCCCACCACUGCUCUCCGGCCUCAACCACCAAUCACUCCAUGGAGGAGAGAUACAUUCAGUGGAAGUAAAGCCAUGUUCUCCAAACACUUUUGACGUUCUUGUGCUGGAAACUUUUUUCUGAUUUCAUAGGUGGCAUUUUCUUCAAACUGACACUAACCUCGAACUCUGGUGAAACCAAACCCUGUUGUGAUGGCUGUGCUCUCUCAGAUCUCUCAAUUCAGUCAAACUUUCAGGUUCUACUUGUUCACUCCAUCUAUCUCAUCUCUUCAAAUCUCAGAGACUAUGUUAGUUGUGAAAAUCCCAGUAAAUGGUUCUCUGCCAGCUCCCAACGUUCCCAGGAGAGUCCGGUGCUUAGGACUAAAGGAUAGAAAUAGAUGUUCAACCUAGACCCUAGUCUGGGGAACCCCCUCUCUCCAUCCCGAAGAUCCUAAGACGGUCAGUGUCGCACAGAUGAAACUGUGACUUCACUGGAACUUUUGUCUGAUCCGUUUGUGGCCCACUAGAUGGGAACUGUGCUGGAUCUGUGUUCUCCAGAGGUCCAGAGGGACCGGACACUGCCAAAGUGCCACGAAGACUUGGCAGCACAGUGGUGAAGAGACAAGGUCCAAGUCCUGAAGGUCCCUUCAGUGGAAUUCCAGUGGAAUAAACAGUGACACAGGAACUGGGCUUCUUGGACUUUUUGAGGAUGAUGAAAUAUUUAUGAACUUCAUGACGACACAGUGUGGAGCCAUAGGUGUGUCCUGGAGCGGGUGACCCAUGUGACUAAGGUUCAGCAUCAGCAUAUGUGUGGAAAUUCCUGCAUCUCAGUGUUUGUUUAUGGAACUGCCAGCUGUUUCUGAUGUCAUCGUCAUCAUCAUCGACAACAGCGGGAUUUUUUUUCUAAAAAUAAUGUUUCACUUGCUCCGACUGUUCAUAGGCCACGUCCAUUUUUGUUUAACGUUCUCAGGAUAAUGGAGGGAAUUUCAUUCUUCAUAACGUCUGGGAUAUUUUGAGCUCCUAGGGGCAGCUAUGGUUCAGUGGGUCGAAGCUUAAAAGUGUACCAUAAUCUGUCCUUUUACCAUGGUGUCCAUGGGAAACUGAGACACAAACUGAAGGCAAAUUGUAUUUAAGAAUUAAAAAAUAAUUACAAAACAAUCACAGGUGGAAAUAAAAACCCCAUCAGUCACCAUCUCAGUCCUCGUGGCCUUAAAAACCUCAGAAAAGUGAGAUAAAGACGGCAGACACGCUUAUCUUUAAAUUCUGCAGCACCUGUUCACACAUGAACUUUUUAUUGUUUCUUUGAUCCUGCAUAGACCCCCAAGUGGGCAUGGCCUGUUCAUAAGCCCUGCCCACUCCUGUGACACGGUCCUGGGCAAUGUUUAAAGGUGUCUGAGAGAAAGUUAAAAUGAAAGCGCUCCACUGAAGUAACUCUUUAUAAAUGUUCUGGAACUGAUAAAGAACAUAAAUAAGCUGUGUUUGCUUCCAGCUAGCACUGCUAACAGGUAGAGUCCAACAAACAAAGAAAUAAACAGUGUGAUAGACAGAUGUUUUUCCCCUGGUUACCGGAACCGCCAAGUACGAGCGAAUGGACGGGUUUUAUAGGAUCCCCAAAGACUGUCGAGCACCAGCAUAAACAUAAAUCUGCGCCCCGUUUGUUAUUUAUAUUAAGUGUUGAAUUUACUGAAAUAUAAAUGCACACACACAUAAUUCUAGUACAGAAUCCAGCCUGGGUCCAGACUCACUGAUCCUCCUCAUAAAAACACAGCAUGUUGUUGAGCUGAAUCAGUGAAUCUGGAUCAGCUGAUCUGGUUUUCACACUAUGUUCUGUCCAAACACAGACGAUGUACCUCCAACGUUCCCCAUUAGAGUGGUGAGAUCCUCUUUCGGAGCAGCUGGGAGACUGGCGGACAUGGAAGGUAAGAGACAAGAGGUGAGAAGAUGAGGUCCUGACCUUCAGGUCCUGACCCUCAGGUCCUCAGAUCCUCAUCAGCUCUCAGAGUCCUGAUCUUUAUGACAGAUUAAAUGACAUUUUUAUGAGCAGUUUCUGGAGAAAGUCAGAGACACAUUUAUCGUCUUCAAAGAUUCAAAGAUGAGAGUAAAAAUACAAGCCUGGGAAGCAGGGAAUUAUGGGUAUAAAUAGAUCUAGUCUUCCUGGACUGUAGAGUCACAUGACCACAGAGAAUUUACCAACACGGUGGUAACUGUGUUGGAGAGAGUCUUUCACACUGUUUAACCAACCUGUAUGAAUUUUAACAAAAACCAAAAAAAAAACAAAAAACACUUGAGCCCUCCUUCUCCUGAACCCCCCCAGAUUUUCAGCAAAAUCUCUAACUCAAACUUUUUGCUCUUAACUCAGACCUGUCUGGAUUUUCUCCUUUACAGCCUAGAGCGGGAGGAGGAGGAGGAGGAAGAACCAGGAGCAGGAUUUGAAGCUCCAGCUGAACUUCAUUAGUUCUCAACUCCUCCACCUCCUUCUGAUCAUAUUCUUUCUGAUCUUCUUUUAAACGUGUUUAUUUAUUUCUGUGUGAUUGAAGAUUCCCAGAGUCCUCCUCCAUCCUGACUCCUAGUCCUCCUCCAUCCCGACUCUGAGUGCCGUCUGUUAUUUAUUCUUAAAUCCAAACACGUUUCCCUCUCAGCUGUUUUAUGACUGGAUCAUGAAGUUCAACACAUGUCAUCUGAAGACGUCCCAACCCUAACUCUCUCUACCGUAUGGUUAAUGGAGCGAGGGAUCAGAGUCAUUUGACUCAAAACAAUGAAACUUUCUCUCAGCUCUGAGCUCAAACCUUUGAAUAGGACAGAAGGAAACAACACAAGCCGGAGGAGGAGAGAAAAUAAUUGUAACAUUUCUCCUUCUUCUAAAUGAUGUCAUCUUCCUGGUUCAUUUUUCUCCACAUUCAGCAACAUUUUGACAUUCUGAUGUCAGCCUACAGCUGAACUGAAGCUACUGUUAACUGUAACCAUGCUAACUAGAAGCUAUCUUCUGGCCAACCUUGAAGCCUGUUCUUUCAUUUGUUUAAUUUUUAUUUAAAGGGCAGGCAGAACAGAACAGACGAACGCUGUUGACAGUGUAACGUGGAGAACGUCUUUUACCUGCUGCCUGUCAGAAAUACCUCUGAUCCUUUGACCUGAUCCUCACCGACAUAAAACACCAAACACAUUAAGAUCUCUGACAGCCAGUCCUCCCCCGUCAUGGACCAGGCUCUUCAUCCCAUGAAGAGCAGCUGAGGGAAUCUUCUGAGGAACCUUCACAUGCAUCCUCACAUGUUAAUCUUUGUAAGACUCUUGGCCUUCUCAGAUGUCUCCGUCCAUCUGAAGAGCGUGUGACAGAUCUACACAUGAACCUGUUCAGAAGCCGAGACUGUGAUACCACUGAUGGAAAAAAACCCCCAGCAGACCUCUGUGUGACCUCUCACUCACAGACUAAUAAAGUGUUCUGUCUCCAUCUCCUGACUCAUAAUGUCAUAAUUAGACCUGAAGCUAAGAAGGCAGCAAUGAGAUGAGACUCAAAGCCUGCAAGCGACUUCAAAAGUCUGAUGAAGCCCACUACCACAUGAUCCACAGCCCACUACCACGUGACCAUAUGAAUAUUUUACCUGUUUGGUCCUUCUAUUUUAUUUUCAUUUAGAUGGUUCUGGGUCAACUUUCUUUUUUACCCUAAUUUUCUUGUAAAAUAAUAUUGAUUUAAGUUUUUGGCACAUUAUGUUCAAAACACCAGAUGUCAAUGUCAGAUUAAAUUUUGUUAUCCUACUUGUGAUUUUAAUGAGAGCAGCCCUCAACCAAAGGUUUAAACAGAAAACUUUGGAGUAGUGAAUUAAUAAUUUAACUGCAGACAUUUGAAUAAUGCAAAGUAAUCAGUGGAGAAACAAAUUACUUUUGUUUCCUGUUGUUUCAUCAACACAGCCUUAAAACAAACACCUCCUCAUCUUUACUUCAGCUGAUGUAAAGAAGAAGAACGAGCUUUGAAUUUAGUGAGAGAGCCACUCUGGCAAAACAACUGACGGCUUCAUUUUUAACAUUUUGAUAAAAGUGCAUGAACUUUUACCAUUUACCUCUCUCAAUGACAGCAACAUUUAAUUUCUGCUCAUGUCUGACCCAAAGAAGAAUUCACUCUUUUAAGCUGCUGCUGCUCCUGCUACCCCUAAUAACCAACACAGGUUAUUAGGGGGGAGGAAUGUUUGAACAGAAAAAACACAGAAUAAUUAAAUCCAAAUGUUUGAGUGAAAAAUAAUCCAGAACAUGAGCUUCAGCUGAAGCAAGAAUACUGGUUCACCCAAAGAAAAUGAACACCAUGGGGUCAUCAGAUAAAAAAGGGCUGUGACAUCAUCAGAAAGAAUAGGCUGUGACAUCGUCUGACAUCAGAAUAAAAAGGCUGUGACAUCAUCAGAAAGAAUAGGCUGUGACAUCGUCUGACAUCAGAAUAAAAAGGCUGUGACAUCAUCAGAAAGAAUAGGCUGUGACAUCGUCUGACAUCAGAAUAAAAAGUCUGUGACAUCAUCAGAAAGAAUAGGCUGUGACAUCAUCAAACAUCAUAAGAAAAAGGCUGUGAUGUCAUUAGAAGAGGCUGUGACGUCCUCAGAAAAAAGGCUGUGACAUCAUUAGAAAAAAGGCUGUGACAUCAUCAGAAAAAAGGCUGUGACAUCAUCAGACAUCAGAAGAAAGAGGCUGUGAUGUCAUCUAAGCCAAAUGAGCUGCUCCAUUGUGGUAAUGUCACUCACCAGUGUUUGCUGCUGCUGCUUCUUUUGGACACACUCGACUACUUGACUGACGUACUUAUGACUUACUUCCUAAUGGUGAAGUCAUCGAAAAAAUGGCAGCGGCCCCUCCCCUGCAGGACACAGCCACACUGAGAGACACACCUACUCUGACACACCCAGAGGAACAGAUAAGUUUCUCUGAAAAGAAACACACAAAGACUGACUCUGACAGCAAGGUCAUUGGUGUAGGCAUCAGUAGUUGCAGCAGCAGCGUAGGUCUCUUUUACGUUCAGUCUAUUUUCUGCAGACGUUUAUUUUCUUUCCCCUGUAAAUAUGGUGAACAUUUUCUCUCUGUUUGUUUUUUCUUCCUCAUUUUCUCAAUUUUUUUCACUUCUGUUCUAAAACGCAAACAUCUGCUGAGGUCUGAGGAGAAGAAGAAGAAGAAAAAAAGUAGAUUCCAGUAGUCUCAGGUUCAAGGAUGUUCUAGGAUCAUUUACAUCCAGUAUCAACAAGAAAAUCCAUCAUAGAGAUUCAGACCUUGUCAGGUCUCUGACCGAGGUCCAGGUCCUACAACCUGGAGAUACAUGAACAGUAACAAUGUCCGGACACAGACUUUGCAGGUGGGUUUGGGUCUCAGGUCCAAACAUGAUCAGUGGGUCAGAAGCUCCAUCAGCUACUUGUAGUUGACCAGAUCUUUGAGUUUGGUCCAGCAGAUAGGGAAGUCCAGAUUUAGUCUCUUCUAGCUUUGAUCUGACAGAUGUUCAGGGACUGGAGGUGGAACCACAGGAGGUGGACCAAGACUGAGGCCUCAGACGUCUUCUGUUUGGCCUCUUGAUUGACAUGGACAUUUAUUCUUUACUCAUGAUUUACUCACGAUUUAUUUAGCUCUAGCAGUGCUACGUCAGCUGGCACUGCCGUAUUCACUUCUCGUCAGUUUUUGUUAGCUGUCGGGUUUUGCUCUUUACGUUACUAGGUAAAAUGGCGACAAGCUAAAACUUGUCCCUGUAGUACUGUACCUCGUCUGUGCCACCACCCCUCAAGUCUCUGUCUGUGGACUGUUGUUAUUUGGUCUGACAAGCAGAACAAGCACAUCAUUAAGUGUUGUUCUUGACCUUAAUACCAACCAUCACUCUCCAGAAGCUUUGAGUCUGUAAAUUUACUAAACAAAUUCAUGAGAGCCGUAAAACCUUAUGAAAGGUGUUGAUCUUGUUGGUGUUUCGCUCAAAGUGACUUCCUGAAGCUGGUGUGUGAUGAACAAGUUCAUAUAUUCUCUGGUCAGUAUGUCCUCAGAAACACUAAAGGCUGCCCCUUGUGGACAGUUGGUGUUUAAACAGUAACUGAAUAUAUUUUAAAUAUAAAUAUUAUUCUGUGUUGAGAUUUAAUAAACCUAAAACCAAUCAUUUAAAAGAUGCAUUUAAAAUGCAAACUAAGUAAACCUAGUGACCUCGCUCUUUGACGUAACUAAAAUGAACCAAAACUGAAUUUGAGGUGGGAACACUUAAUAAAACUAAACUAUAAUGAAAGUAGGGUGUCACCAUUAUUCGAUAUUACAACUAACUGUGGUGUUAAACGCAACGGUUAACUUAUCGUAACGUUUCCUUAAUACUGUCAGAAAAUAUGCCGGAACUGAAGUCAUGGGCAGCUCAAACGGAACGAAAACAAUGUUACACAACAGCCGCGUGUUGCAUUUGUUUUUUCACCUGAGGGACAACCACCCGCCAUUGUUAGCCACAGUGAAGUGCAACGUGACAGGUUACCUAACGUUAACAUCAUACUGUUCGUAUGUAAACAUGGCGUCAGGAAGAGGUGAAAACCAGAGUCGCCUUUCAGGAACAAGUGUCCCUACGGCAGGAGGUAAAGAGUUAAUUUCCUUCAGAGUUUCCCUGGGCCAGGUUUCAUGUGGGUCUCAGUUCUGAGGAUCAGAACUCACUCUCUUCCAGAACCUCCUCCACUGUUUCUCCAAGGGUCAUCUCUCCGUCGCUGCUGGACAGACUUUUCCUGGUCCUGAAGUCCAGUCUGGUGACAUCACAGCCCAUCACACCCUGAACUUUAACCUCUCCAGCCCCCAGAGUUUGACCUCCUCUUUGUGGAGCAGCCUGACAAGGCCGCAGCUGGUUGUUGUUGGGGCUGGUGUCGUCAUAGCAAUCGCCAAGAUGCUGGCUUCGGCGAGUGCAUUUCCUUAUGAGCUUCAGAGGAGCGCAUUCUGUGACCUGGAAGUGACUGGUGAAGAGGAAGAGCUGCCAGCGCUUCUUCAGCUCAGCCUGGACCUGAACACUGAUAAAGUGAUGGGGCCUCUGAUGAUCCACCAAAACCAUCUGUUCACGAUGGACCAACAUCUGAGGAAGCAGAGAAGUUUGUCCACAAUCAGGAGAUGGAGAAACAGGUUUUAACUGAUUUUAUAGCUUGAUUGAAUUCUUUUAUUAAUUAAGUUUUAAACUUACUCUGUGUUUUCAUAAAGUAUUUUCACCAGCAUCCACGGAGUCACAAAGAUGACAGGAGUUCCUGAGAACCAUACACAUCUGUGAUGAGCAGUUUGAUUUGCUGAGACAUUCUGAAACCCCACAUUUUUGGACUGAACAGAUUUUCACUCUCUAUGCAAACUGGGAUCACAGUUUGAACUGGAGACCGUAUGCACUAGUGCUCUGCUAAAAUGCUAGCACAUGGCUAGAAUGUCAUCAAUGUGCUGUCUACUACCACAUUGCUAACAUAAUAGAGCAGUGGAAACAUGCUGCUUGUGCACCAUGUGCUAAAAUGUUGCUCAUUUUCCAGUUUACUACUAUUACUGGCUGGAAGCUAGCCUAAUUGGAACCUACCCCAACCGAGCAGCAUGAACUUCUUCAACAGUCGCCUCCUAGUGGGAACAGUUGUGAAGAGCAGAGCGUGGAGGAAAAUGGCUUCGACCAGCAGCCAGAAAACUUGAGUAUGAAUUCCAUCCGGAAUCGUCCGUAGGAAGGUGUGUAUACAUGACAUGGAGAACUAUUUCUUUGGAGAUGACGGCCACCGCUCUCAGGAUGAAGGACACAAACAGGUUCAUGUGUAUGUAAUUCCUGGUACAGUGAAGUUUUCUGGGAAUUGGAAGGAGAACAAUGUUUCAGAAGGUCUUCCCAAAUAAUCACGUUGAGCUGUUUGGGCAGAACACUGACCUCAGAACAGCCAUCAGAAGGGUGGCCAGGGUCAGGGAGGUCAGUGACAGGGAAUAUCCAACAAUGGAGAUGAGCCGUAAAGCAGUUUGACGGAACAUUUCUUUUUCCUGGACGGAUUCGAAGAGAUGAUACUUUUUAUAGAUGAACGUGUUGAAUGGUCCUUGAAAGGUCCUUUAAUCAGACUGGUGUGGAUGUAACCACUGCUGACUCACCUUGUCUUCGAAGAACUGGUCUUCCUGACACUCGGAGUCAUCUCUCCAGGGCUCAGACAAGUUCUCCUUUGGGCGCCACCUUCCAUUUUCUAAACACUGUCUGUACGUUCUUCUGGAGCCCCCUGUAAACCAGGAGGGCUGCUGGGGUCACCACAUGUUCUGCUCUAAAUUGUGACAUUAUCUCUAAUUAGUUAAAGAUGAAACACAACUUUACCCUCUUUGAUCCACGGCAGAUAUGGAGGACAUGGAACGGACACGUUCCCAGGAGACGAAUGAGGCCAACACACGAACGAGUCAAAAGUUCCUCGGCAGAAAUUUCCUAGAAAAGACGUAAAGAAGUUUAGUGUGGAUGUGGAAGUUUGGCUAACAACACAACAGUUAAGUCAAGCUAACAAUGUUGUUAGCUGUUAACCAUUGGGUUGUUAGCAAGCACGGCAGGAUUCUUUUACAUGUGAUCAGGACAUGUCUAGAUCUGGAGUGUGUAUUGGUGAGAAAUUGUCAAUACGAUACGUUUCACGAUACACGGGCAAUGGUACAAUAUAUUGCAAUACUAUAGGUACGAUGAUAUAUUGAGUUUUUACAAUGUAAUUGUAGUAAAACUGUCAUCAUAGUAAACACACAAUGCUGUUCCAUCUGAACAUCAGAUUACUGUGAUCACUAGAGAAGAAAUAAAAGAAAAAUCUAAUAAACCAACGACAUGAAUAUUACUAUAUUUGAAUAUUUGUCACUUGUUAACUAAAAAAUCCAUACUUUGCUGUAGAAUAUUGAUACGAUAUCACAAAGUAAAAUGUUGUAAUAUAUUUUAAUGUCGCAAUAUUUUCUUAUUCCACAAGAAGUGUUUACCAAUGGCAGUAGAGACGAGCGCUACCAGUGCUCUGCACACUACAUGUUAGCACGCUACUAACAUGCUGCUCACACAUUACUUAGUAUGGCAGUACUAUAGUAUCUUCUGCCCGUAGUUACUAAGUGGAAGGUUCUAAAAAGUUUUCGAAAUGUUUUCCUCACCAGUGUUUGGUAGAAGGACUGGGUUCAGAAGACUUCUGUUACACUGGACCCAAUACUCGUUCCGAUUGGCAAUGACACUUUCCAGUACUGAAGCUGUCACCUGUCAGCACACAAUAUCCGCCAAUUAUAAAGUUAUUAUGGAGGGUUUUUACUGUCUAUUUAAAUUAAUACUUUAAAGAUUUUGAAUUCAUCAGGAAGAAAUAUAUUAGUUCAACUUCUAAUAACGAUGAUAAAAAAUUCACAGUAAUCAUCAUCAAAGUCCUGAAGCAGUUGUACGGAGAUUUUUUUUUUUUACCAUAACAUCACAAAUCUGUAAAAGAUAUAUAAUCUGAAAAAGAGCUGACAUUUAAAUCUGAUCUGUUGAUCUGAUGAUCAUCUGAUGCUCUCAGGUGCAGUUUCCUGUCAUUUCUUUCAGAUAAACCAGCAGAUUCCUACUCACCUGUGGGCUGAUAAAAACCAGGAUCAGGAUGAAAGCGGUCCAGGUCUUGUGGUACCAGCUUGGCAACAGCGUUGUCAUGGUUUCUCUGCUGUUUACAUUGAAAACAUUUCAGUCCAAAUGGUUUCCUCCUCAAACAUCACGGGGCCUCGGACUCAUCUCCACUCAGCAGCAGACACCACGACUUCAGUCCAACUAAUUCUACUCUAAGGUUUCUCCUUUUUCUAUAGAUGUUCCCAACGAUCUUCACAUGUUCGUGUUUCCUCCUCAGUGAUGAGUUCUCUUCUGCAAAAAGCUCAAAUGAUUCUAGUCCAUUAAAACCAGGGAGAUGUAAAGACGUCUGAGAACAGAGGACUGAGAUUGAGAGCGGAUCUCCAACAAUGAGGCGGAGCUCCUCCUUCAAAUCCUCAGCAAAUUACCAGGAGGCUGGUUGAGAGCAGGCUCCGGGAUGUUCUGUGUCUGUCCAAAUAUCAAGUGAGUUUAAAGAAGGUUUAAGUUCAGCCUUCAAAUUAACUUUAUUUUUAAUUAAUGCUACUAUUAAUUAUCACCAUAGUUUAACAUAUUUGGGAUUUUUCACACGAUUUGUCUAUAUAUAUAUAUAUAUAUAUAUGUAUAUAUAUAUAUAUAUUUGGCUUCCAAAUCCUUAUAUUUUUGGACAUGAUUACUCACAGGGUCACUGUGGAUUGAUAUAAAAACUCAGAUUCUCACCUGUUUUUAUCUUCGACUAAUCAAAAUAUUGGGAUUAUUAAUCUGUGAGUGGGUGUAUUUCAGAGUUUUAUUUAUUACAUGCACAUCAUACAGUGUACAGCACCUGCUGAGUAAACACUUUUUAAAAAAAGAAAAACACAUUUUUACACAGUAAAACAGUUAACAGUCCCCCCCCCCCCCCCCCAUUAAAUACAAACAGAGAAAGAGGACUAACAGAAAAGUUGACUGAGCAUCUAUGCAGACAGGUUUACACACAAACUGUAUAUAUGUGUGUGUGUUCAAUUUAAUAUCCAAAGUUAAGCAGGCAGAUGACCGGUGGUCCUCAGGCUGUGGAGACACUGGCCUGUAGGCAGAGGAGUCGAUGGUGUCCGGGGGGGCAGCAGAGGGUCCUGAGCAGACCACCCUCCCUGCUGCGUGCAGUUUCCCAUCCCUGUGAUUUUGCUUCCAAACAAGAUGAUGGUCAAUACUGCAGGUGUAAAAUUAAUCAGCCUGGAAAGUUUUGAAGCUUUAAGGCCACUUUCAGUGACUUUGCUGACCAUCAAUGAUUAAUGUUCAGAUGUGUGUUUUGAAAGACACACACACACUAACCUGAACCAGGGCAGGAAAGAAGUAAGAGUUUGUUUACCUUUGUGUAACUGUGUAAACACAGCAGCCCAGAUGUUUGGCAGUUGCUGCUUCAUGGGUUCCAUCAUGUUUAGCCUAUAGGCCAGAUGUCCUGUGGGCCACGGUAAACUGUUUGGGUUUCUCAGGUCUCGCAUAGUUUGGUCGCCGGAGCUUUGACCAAUUAUCAAGUGAAGAGUGGCCUGUAGUCGAGAGGUCAAGAGGUCGCUGCAGUUGUGGAGCAGAAACAGGAAGGGGUGGUGGUCUUCUGAUAGCUCCUCACCCCUAACACCUACCUCUCUCACCCCUAGUGUAACUCCUAACUCCCCAACACCAGUGACCUCUGUAGUAACCCUGUCCCCCGGGUUCUGUACUACAGCCCCCAGUGAAGGUGGGGGUGUGCACAGCAUCACCUCUCAGCCGGAAAAACAAACACUCAGACAGACAGAGAACGUUCUGGAUCCAGGGUCAACAGCAGACACAGCCAUGGGCAUCACAUCGCUGUGUAGCCAAAUAACAGCAUCAGGCUCAGGGAGGAGGAGAAAAGGCGGGAGAGAGAGUGGGGCAGGGUUAGUUGAAUUUAAAUUAUUUGCCGAUCAUUUCUGUUUAAAGUCUCAUUGUCUUAAGGAUUAAUUCAUUCGUCAUCUCCUCAGUGACUGUAUGUGUGAAAUAGGUGGAGGUCCUGAACCCCCCGGCGCCCCCUGUGGACUGUCUGGAUGAGAGUGUUUCUGAGCAUCAGCAGCUUUAACUAGACACUGACCUGAGACUCAACCCUUUAUUUUCACCUCCUCCACCACUGAUGGUCUCCUCAGGCCACAGUGUCAUGGGUGACAGACGAUGCUCAUCCCAUGGAAAAUGAACAACUGCCUCCUGAUUGGUCAGAAUCAGACUCCAGUCUCUCUAUCUCUCUCUCUCUCUGUCCCUCCCUCUGUCCCCCUCAGCCCCCCCUCCCUGUAGUGCCUCUGACUGUUUAUGUCCAGAGAAGUUUAUAAAACAACAACGUUAAUAAUCAUUUAUUAAAGUUGACAAAGUUUACAAUCAAACUUGUUCAUUCAGUCCUGAUGUUUAUAUUCAAACAGGAUGUGAUGAUGAUGAUGAUGAUGGUGAUGGGUUCAAGCUUAAGUCUAGGGUAAACCUGACAACAAAAAACAAAGAGACCUAGUUAAAGAUUCAAUAAAUUAAUGUAAUAUUAGAAAUUCUGAAGUUUUAGGAUCAUUUUAGAAAAUGUAAUUUCCCUUUGUUUUAGUGAAAUGUUUUCUGUGUCCUUUAGUAGACUAAAAUAUAUAUACCAUGGUAUCACUCAUUUACACACUGCAGCUGCAGUAGCAGCAGUAGUAGCAGCAGCAGUAACAGCAGCAGCAGCAGUAACAGCAGCAGUAGUUGUGUCUCUGGAAAGUCUCCUGUUAAAAGUGUUGAUACAAAUCUGUCAGAAAUUCCUUUACAACAAAUUCCAACAACAUAAACAUAAACAUCAUCAAUUUUUCUCUGCUUUAGAGCAGACAACCAAAUCCUCCUUCCUCCUCUCUCCUGUCUCCUCGCUCCUCUCUUCCACCUCCCAUCCUGACCAGAUUAGGAAACAAGUGUCUGCAACCCCCCUACCCCGCCCCGUUCUCGGUCUCUAACUUGACCCCUGAAUGCGGUCAUCUUUUCUUACUGGAUUUGUUUGCAUUCUUACCAGAAGGUGGUGCUCUUCUGCAAAAUCUUGGGCAGUGACUGGAGUCAAGUCAUUGUUUUACUGACAAAAUCUCACAAAAAACAUUCCCUUUAGAAUUGUGAUCAGGCCCUAGGUCCUGACUCACAGCACUCCCUGCUGUUAGAACCCAGUCCUGCAACGUCAGGGAACGUAAGAAGCGCUUUAAAAAGCAGAGUAAACUUCAGCUUGGACUGGAGAACUGUCGUGAAACAUUUUAUUUCCUUCGGUCUUGUUUUAGUCGGGUCAUUUAAUUUGACCAUGCAGUUUUUUUUAGAUGUUGAAAUGCUUCCAUUUAGUGAACGAAUGUUAAUCUACCGUCUUCAAGCAGGCACGUACAUGACUUGACAUGAAGAUUUCUUUUUUUUUAGGACCCCACUCCCCCCCUUCACACACACACAUACACACACAUACAUACAUUUCAUAUAACCGGAGUGAAAGUGAACUACUUUUUUGUUAUUAUUUAUUAUUUUUCUAUUUUUUCAUUAUUGUGACACUGCACUCCCACUGCCCACAACCAAAUGACCUCUGCUUUUAACAGUGACCACCUGUCCCGCUUUACGUUACGUCACGAAAACUUUUGUCCCACUUGGUCAUUUGAAAUUACUUAAUAGAAAAAACUAAACUUUAUGGGCACGACUAUCAGUGCAGUCCAUAACAAUGAUAGGCCACUACGAGGAGAAGGCGGUAGCUGACAGGCUGAGUGGUGUGUCAAUCAAACUGCUGACUCGCAGCAGUCACACAGCGUCUGAAAUCGUAGAACGCGCAGUUGUUUUGAUAUUGUGAAGGUUCCCACGUGUGGAGUGCCGACAGAAGACGCCAUCUUUUGGCUGAGACCAGUGGAUGGAGACUGAAUCAGCAUUCUGGAAUUGAUAGGAAACGACACGGUGCACGUGAGUCUCAAACAAGUACACAACAGAAAACUUCCAAAAGUGUGUAGUAUUUUUUCUGUAAACCAAAUGACACUGAGUUAAAAUAAUAAAUGACCGCAGUAAAAGUUACCAGUGUUUACCGUAUAGAGUAUCUACAGCGAUGCUGAAUAUAUAUUCACGGCCAUUGAAUCUUGUUGUAGCCUAGGUUUAAACUUUUGUUUGCUUUUCUGCUGCCAAUGUUUCAGAAACGUGCCAUUCCCAGUGCUGAGAAAGGCAGUUGGCCUGCCAUCUGCUGGAUUGUGAUGCAAAAUCUGCCUGGUGGUGUUGGGGUAUUUCUAUUUUUUUAUUCUCAUGUUUUGGUCACAAAUGGCCAUAAUGAUAAUUAUAAUCCACAGGAGUUGUUGGUUUUACAUAGACCAUUUACAUUGAAAUUGUUGAAUUUGACAUCAGGUCAUAUUUAGUUGUUGUCCUAUCUUCUUAUUUGAUGUUAAAUGUGGAAGAAUUAAGAUAUUGAAUCAAUAAUGAUGUUACAUUACAACAUGUGUUGUGUUGAGAUAUUGUUUCCCAAAGACUGGGUCGCGACCCUCAGGUGGGUCACAAGAUAUAUUUUUUUGGGUCGUCACGACGCAACAUGU
Long non-coding RNA from Cynoglossus semilaevis (tongue sole), 14726 nucleotides. RefSeq lists it as uncharacterized. NCBI's taxonomy places the organism in Eukaryota, Metazoa, Chordata, Actinopteri, Pleuronectiformes, Cynoglossidae. The record is from RefSeq and is a predicted model, not a curated record. The transcript is spliced from 11 exons.